Non-coding RNA from Gallibacterium anatis, 3002 nucleotides. Lineage: Bacteria; Pseudomonadati; Pseudomonadota; Gammaproteobacteria; Pasteurellales; Pasteurellaceae. The record is from Rfam.
AGUUAAGUGACUAAGCGUACACGGUGGAUGCCUUGGCAAUCAGAGGCGAAGAAGGACGUGCUAAUCUGCGAAAAGCGUGGGGGAGCUGAUAAGGAGCGCAAAUCCCACGAUAUCCGAAUGGGGAAACCCGAUAGAUGAAGAAUCUAUCAUUGUUGUCUGAAUUCAUAGGGCAACAAGGCAAACCGGGAGAACUGAAACAUCUAAGUACCCCGAGGAAAAGAAAUCAACCGAGAUUCUGCGAGUAGCGGCGAGCGAAAGCGGAGGAGCCAGCGAGUGAUAGCAUAAGUUUUAGGAGAAUUGUCUGGGAAGGCAAGCGAGAGAGGGUGACAGCCCCGUAUCCGAAAAGACGGAUGUGGUACUAAGCUAGCAAGAAGUAGGGCGGGACACGAGGAAUCCUGUUUGAAGAAGGGGGGACCAUCCUCCAAGGCUAAAUACUCCUGAUUGACCGAUAGUGAACCAGUACCGUGAGGGAAAGGCGAAAAGAACCCCGGGAGGGGAGUGAAAGAGAACCUGAAACCGUGUACGUACAAGCAGUGGGAGCCUGUAAGGGUGACUGCGUACCUUUUGUAUAAUGGGUCAGCGACUUAUAUUUUGUAGCGAGGUUAACCGGAUAGGGGAGCCGAAGGGAAACCGAGUCUUAACUGGGCGGUUAGUUGCAAGAUAUAGACCCGAAACCCGGUGAUCUAGCCAUGGGCAGGAAGAAGGUUGGGUAACACUAACUGGAGGGCCGAACCGACUACUGUUGAAAAAGUAGCGGAUGACCUGUGGCUGGGGGUGAAAGGCCAAUCAAACCGGGAGAUAGCUGGUUCUCCCCGAAAUCUAUUUAGGUAGAGCCUUAUAUGAAUACCUUCGGGGGUAGAGCACUGUUUCGGCUAGGGGUCCAUCCCGGAUUACCAACCCGAUGCAAACUGCGAAUACCGAAGAGUAAUGUAUAGGAGACACACGGCGGGUGCUAACGUUCGUCGUGGAGAGGGAAACAACCCAGACCGCCAGCUAAGGUCCCAAAGUCUAUAUUAAGUGGGAAACGAAGUGGAAAGGCUUAGACAGCUAGGAUGUUGGCUUAGAAGCAGCCAUCAUUUAAAGAAAGCGUAAUAGCUCACUAGUCGAGUCGGUCUGCGCGGAAGAUGUAACGGGGCUAAAAUAUAGCACCGAAGCUGCGGCAUCAGGCGUAUCACACAUACGCCUUACGAUUAACACCUUGCAAAGCAAGGUGGUCAAGCGACUUACACGUUGAGGUGUGAGCGGGAGGGAUAAUCGAAGAGAGGAAUAUGUGUGAUACGUCUGUUGGGUAGGGGAGCGUUGUGUAAGCUGAAGAAGGUAGUUCGAGAGGGCUGCUGGAGGUAUCACAAGUGCGAAUGCUGACAUAAGUAACGAUAAAGCGGGUGAAAGGCCCGCUCGCCGGAAGACCAAGGUUUCCUGUCCAACGUUAAUCGGGGCAGGGUGAGUCGGCCCCUAAGGCGAGGCUGAGAAGCGUAGUCGAUGGGAAAUGGGUUAAUAUUCCCAUACUUGGAUAAACUGCGAUGUGGGGACGGAGCAGGUUAGGUUAGCGUACGGAUGGAAGAGUACGUUUAAGUUGGUAGGUGAGGUGUUUAGGCAAAUCCGGGCACCUGAUAACACUGAGAGAUGAUGACGAGGCUACGGUGCUGAAGUAACUGAUACCCAACUUCCAGGAAAAGCCACUAAGCGAGAGGUUUAUCUAAACCGUACUGGAAACCGACACAGGUGGUCAGGUAGAGAAUACUAAGGCGCUUGAGAGAACUCGGGUGAAGGAACUAGGCAAAAUAGCACCGUAACUUCGGGAGAAGGUGCGCUGGCGUAGUGUGAAGUUCUUCGCGAAUGGAGCACGAACCAGUCGAAGCGACGAGCUGGCUGCAACUGUUUAAUAAAAACACAGCACUCUGCAAACACGAAAGUGGACGUAUAGGGUGUGAUGCCUGCCCGGUGCUGGAAGGUUAAUUGAUGGUGUUAUCGAAAGAGAAGCACCUGAUCGAAGCCCCAGUAAACGGCGGCCGUAACUAUAACGGUCCUAAGGUAGCGAAAUUCCUUGUCGGGUAAGUUCCGACCUGCACGAAUGGCAUAAUGAUGGCCAGGCUGUCUCCACCCGAGACUCAGUGAAAUUGAAAUCGCCGUGAAGAUGCGGUGUACCCGCGGCUAGACGGAAAGACCCCGUGAACCUUUACUAUAGCUUGACACUGAACCUUGAAUUUUAAUGUGUAGGAUAGGUGGGAGACUAAGAAGCGGUAACGCCAGUUAUCGUGGAGUCGAUGUUGAAAUACCACCCUUUAACGUUUGAUGUUCUAACGAGGCACCUGGGACAGGUGUUCGGACAGUGUCUGGUGGGUAGUUUGACUGGGGCGGUCUCCUCCCAAAGCGUAACGGAGGAGCACGAAGGUUGGCUAAUGACGGUCGGACAUCGUCAGGUUAGUGCAAUGGUAGAAGCCAGCUUAACUGCGAGACGGACAAGUCGAGCAGGUACGAAAGUAGGUCAUAGUGAUCCGGUGGUUCUGAAUGGAAGGGCCAUCGCUCAACGGAUAAAAGGUACUCCGGGGAUAACAGGCUGAUACCGCCCAAGAGUUCAUAUCGACGGCGGUGUUUGGCACCUCGAUGUCGGCUCAUCACAUCCUGGGGCUGAAGUAGGUCCCAAGGGUAUGGCUGUUCGCCAUUUAAAGUGGUACGCGAGCUGGGUUUAGAACGUCGUGAGACAGUUCGGUCCCUAUCUGCCGUGGGCGUUGGAGGAUUGAGGGGGGUUGCUCCUAGUACGAGAGGACCGGAGUGAACGCACCGCUGGUGUUCCAGUUGUUUCGCCAGAAGCAUUGCUGGGUAGCUAAGUGCGGAAGAGAUAAGUGCUGAAAGCAUCUAAGCACGAAACUUGCCCCGAGAUGAGUUCUCCCAGUCUAAGAGACUGUAAGGGUUGUUGAAGACGACGACGUAGAUAGGCGGGGUGUGUAAGCGGUGUGAGCCGUUGAGCUAACCCAUACUAAUUGCCCGAGAGGCUUAACUAU